GGGGAAUAUUGGACAAUGGGCGCAAGCCUGAUCCAGCCAUACCGCGUGGAUGAAGAAGGCCUUCGGGUUGUAAAGCCCUUUUGUUGGGAAAGAAAACUUGCGGGCUAAUACCCAGCAAGUCUGACGGUACCCAAAGAAUAAGCACCGGCUAACUUCGUGCCAGCAGCCGCGGUAAUACGAAGGGUGCAAGCGUUACUCGGAAUUACUGGGCGUAAAGCGUGCGUAGGUGGUUGUUUAAGUCUGUCGUGAAAGCCCUGGGCUCAACCUGGGAAUUGCGAUGGAUACUGGGCGACUAGAGUGUGGUAGAGGAUAGUGGAAUUUCCGGUGUAGCAGUGAAAUGCGUAGAGAUCGGAAGGAACAUCUGUGGCGAAGGCGACUAUCUGGGCCAACACUGACACUGAGGCACGAAAGCGUGGGGAGCAAAC
This 425-nucleotide ribosomal RNA is filed under the name uncultured bacterium. Its description in RNAcentral is "bacterial SSU rRNA". It matches the Rfam family "Bacterial small subunit ribosomal RNA", at positions 356 to 773 of the family's 1533-position model. The record is from RNAcentral.